RNAcentral lists this ribosomal RNA (468 nucleotides) under uncultured bacterium. Its description in RNAcentral is "partial 16S ribosomal RNA". It matches the Rfam family "Bacterial small subunit ribosomal RNA", at positions 28 to 507 of the family's 1533-position model. The record is from RNAcentral.
GACGAACGCUGGCGGCGUGCUUAACACAUGCAAGUCGAACGAUGAUGCCAGCUUGCUGGUGGAUUAGUGGCGAACGGGUGAGUAACACGUGAGCAACCUGCCCCUGACUUCGGGAUAACCGCGGGAAACCGUGGCUAAUACCGGAUAUGACGCGCUAUCGCAUGGUGGUGUGUGGAAAGAUUUAUCGGUUGGGGAUGGGCUCGCGGCCUAUCAGCUUGUUGGUGGGGUGAUGGCCUACCAAGGCGACGACGGGUAGCCGGCCUGAGAGGGUGACCGGCCACACUGGGACUGAGACGCGGCCCAGACUCCUACGGGAGGCAGCAGUGGGGAAUAUUGCACAAUGGGCGCAAGCCUGAUGCAGCGACGCCGCGUGAGGGAUGACGGCCUUCGGGUUGUAAACCUCUUUCAGUAGGGAAGAAGGCCUUCGGGUUGACGGUACCUGCAGAAGAAGCGCCGGCUAACUACGUG